This 492-nucleotide ribosomal RNA is filed under the name uncultured bacterium. RNAcentral describes it as "partial 16S ribosomal RNA". It matches the Rfam family "Bacterial small subunit ribosomal RNA", at positions 29 to 507 of the family's 1533-position model. The record is from RNAcentral.
AGUGAACGCCGGCGGUAGGCCUAACACAUGCAAGUCGAACGGCAGCACAGUAAGAGCUUGCUCUUACGGGUGGCGAGUGGCGGACGGGUGAGGAAUACAUCGGAAUCUACUUUUUCGUGGGGGAUAACGUAGGGAAACUUACGCUAAUACCGCAUACGACCUACGGGUGAAAGCAGGGGAUCUUUGGACCUUGCGCGAUUGAAUGAGCCGAUGUCGGAUUAGCUAGUUGGCGGGGUAAAGGCCCACCAAGGCGACGAUCCGUAGCUGGUCUGAGAGGAUGAUCAGCCACACUGGAACUGAGCCACGGUCCAGACUCCUACGGGAGGCAGCAGUGGGGAAUAUUGGACAAUGGGCGCAAGCCUGAUCCAGCCAUACCGCGUGGGUGAAGAAGGCCUUCGGGUUGUAAAGCCCUUUUGUUGGGAAAGAAAAGCAGCAGGUUAAUACCCCGCUGUUCUGACGGUACCCAAAGAAUAAGCACCGGCUAACUUCGUG